This 237-nucleotide ribosomal RNA is filed under the name uncultured Bacillota bacterium. Its description in RNAcentral is "uncultured Firmicutes bacterium partial 16S ribosomal RNA". It matches the Rfam family "Bacterial small subunit ribosomal RNA", at positions 97 to 334 of the family's 1533-position model. Lineage: Bacteria; Bacillati; Bacillota. The record is from RNAcentral.
GGCGGACGGGUGAGUAACGCGUGGGUAACCUGCCUCACACUGGGGGAUAACAGUUAGAAAUAGCUGCUAAUACCGCAUAAGCGCACGGUUCCGCAUGGAACAGUGUGAAAAACUCCGGUGGUGUGAGAUGGACCCGCGUCUGAUUAGCCAGUUGGCGGGGUAACGGCCCACCAAAGCGACGAUCAGUAGCCGGCCUGAGAGGGUGAACGGCCACAUUGGGACUGAGACACGGCCCAA